Molecule: ribosomal RNA, 274 nt
Filed under: uncultured bacterium
Lineage: Bacteria
Description: partial 16S ribosomal RNA
Rfam family: Bacterial small subunit ribosomal RNA
Source: RNAcentral
CUACGGAGGGUGCAAGCGUUACUCGGAAUCACUGGGCGUAAAGCGCGCGCAGGCGGGCUGAUAAGUUGGAUGUGAAAGCCUACGGCUCAACCGUAGAACUGCAUCCAAAACUGUCAGUCUAGAGUCUGGGAGGGGAAGAUGGAAUUAGUUGUGUAGGGGUAAAAUCCGUAGAGAUAACUAGGAAUACCAAAAGCGAAGGCGAUCUUCUGGAACAGUACUGACGCUGAGGCGCGAAAGCGUGGGGAGCAAACAGGAUUAGAAACCCUAGUAGUCC